UACGUAGGGCGCAAGCGUUAUCCGGAAUUAUUGGGCGUAAAGAGCUCGUAGGCGGUUUGUCGCGUCUGCCGUGAAAGUCCAGGGCUCAACUCCGGAUCUGCGGUGGGUACGGGCAGACUAGAGUGAUGUAGGGGAGACUGGAAUUCCUGGUGUAGCGGUGAAAUGCGUAGAUAUCUGGAGGAACACCGGUGGCGAAGGCGGCAUCCUGGACCGGUAUUGACGCUGAGGCGCGAAAGCUAGGGGAGCAAACGGG
Molecule: ribosomal RNA, 253 nt
Filed under: uncultured bacterium
Lineage: Bacteria
Description: partial 16S ribosomal RNA
Rfam family: Bacterial small subunit ribosomal RNA
Source: RNAcentral